GGAGUUCAGGAGUAGGGUUUGGCUUCUCUCUCUCCCCCUCUCACUCUAGGAACUUCUCUCUCUACAAGGAAUCAAGGGUUUAAGCUUGAUUCUCCUCUUUGCUUGUUGUUUACUAGCAAGGAGUGGUUUGGAGCUGCUGUGGAAGGAAAAAGAAGGAGUUUUAAAGAGUAUUUCGCAACCUUGAACCUUGUUCUUGCAGGAUGAGGCUUUGGGGAGCCGAGGUUCGGAGAGGUUCCAGCAGCUAGAGGAGAGCUCUUUUACUGUAAUUACUUUACAAUAGAACAGGGAAGAAUGGAAGUAAGGGUUGAGCAAGCAACUACAAGUAUUACUUUGAGCUGAGAUCGUGAUCUUAUGGAUUGAUUAGGAAGGUACUUCAGUGUAUGUUGGCAGCAGGUUUGCCACAGAUCGUCGGAUGAUUCUUGACUAACAUUUGGAAACUUUCGGAGGUUAAAUUGGUGGACUAAAUUGAACCCAAAACAGUUCAAGCUGGGGUCUUGUACAAGGUUUAAGCUGAGUUUGGGGGCCUCUAUCUACGUUGAAGAGUAAACUCAACUACCUUUUAAAACUAUGAACCUGAACACUUGGACUGCCUACCAGUGUGAGAUCGACAAGAAACAUCGAUUAGUAGGUCAUUUAUGAUAAAUUAGUAGGAAGAAGCUGUGGGUUUGGGUUUGUCACAAUGUCUACAGUUGAAGAAGCGGAAGCAACUGUGGAGACGACGGCGGCGGCGAUGGCCGCGACAGAAACGACGACGAUGGCAGCAGUAGCCGCCGCGUGGGAGGCAAAGGAGGAUGAGGGGAGGAAGAGGAGAUGGCGGUGGAGGGAGUAGAGGGAGUGGAGCUCGUGGAGCAUGUGGGCGCGGAUGAGGAGGUGGGAGAUAGUGCAAUUUUGUCUGAGACUAAGUUGCACUAUUUAAGACAAAUUU
This is a long non-coding RNA of Ananas comosus (pineapple), 925 nucleotides long. RefSeq lists it as uncharacterized. The record is from RefSeq and is a predicted model, not a curated record. The transcript is spliced from 7 exons. Lineage: Eukaryota; Viridiplantae; Streptophyta; Magnoliopsida; Poales; Bromeliaceae.